CAAGAAGAACAGAGACAGAAUCAUGGAUAUGGAGAACAUUUUGAUGGUUGCCAGAUGAGAGGCGGGUAGGGGAGAAUGGGUGAAGAGGUGAGGGGAUUAAGAAGUACAAAUAGGUAGUUACAGAAUAGCC
Molecule: long non-coding RNA, 130 nt
Organism: Phyllostomus discolor (pale spear-nosed bat)
Lineage: Eukaryota; Metazoa; Chordata; Mammalia; Chiroptera; Phyllostomidae
Exons: 3
Source: RefSeq, a predicted model, not a curated record